This 446-nucleotide ribosomal RNA is filed under the name uncultured bacterium. RNAcentral describes it as "bacterial SSU rRNA". It matches the Rfam family "Bacterial small subunit ribosomal RNA", at positions 329 to 792 of the family's 1533-position model. The record is from RNAcentral.
GUCCAGACUCCUACGGGAGGCAGCAGUGGGGAAUAUUGCACAAUGGGGGAAACCCUGAUGCAGCGACGCCGCGUGAGUGAAGAAGUAUUUCGGUAUGUAAAGCUCUCUCAGCAGGGAAGAAAAUGACGGUACCUGACUAAGAAGCCCCGGCUAACUACGUGCCAGCAGCCGCGGUAAUACGUAGGGGGCAAGCGUUAUCCGGAUUUACUGGGUGUAAAGGGAGCGUAGACGGCAUGGCAAGUCAGAUGUGAAAGCCCGGGGCUCAACCCCGGGACUGCAUUUGAAACUGUCAGGCUGGAGUGCAGGAGAGGUAAGUGGAAUUCCUAGUGUAGCGGUGAAAUGCGUAGAUAUUAGGAGGAACACCAGUGGCGAAGGCGGCUUACUGGACUGUAACUGACGUUGAGGCUCGAAAGCGUGGGGAGCAAACAGGAUUAGAUACCCCAGUA